Molecule: ribosomal RNA, 460 nt
Filed under: uncultured bacterium
Lineage: Bacteria
Description: partial 16S ribosomal RNA
Rfam family: Bacterial small subunit ribosomal RNA
Source: RNAcentral
CCUACGGGUGGCAGCAGUGAGGAAUAUUGGUCAAUGGGCGCUAGCCUGAACCAGCCAAGUAGCGUGAAGGAUGACUGCCCUAUGGGUUGUAAACUUCUUUUAUAUGGGAAUAAAGUACAGUAUGUAUACUGCUUUCCAUGUACCUUAUGAAUAAGGAUCGGCUAACUCCGUGCCAGCAGCAUCGGUAAUACGGAGGAUCCGGUCUUUAUCCGUAUUUAUUGGGUUUAAAGGGAGCGUAGGCUGUUUGUUAAGUCAGUUGUGAAAGUUUGCGGCGCAACCGUAAAAUUGAAGUUGAUACUGGCAGCCUUGAGUAAAGGAGAGGGAGGCGGAAUUCGUGGUGUAGCGGUGAAAUGCGUAGAUAUCACGAAGAACUCCGAUGGCGAAGGCAGGCUGCUGGACUGUAACUGACGCUGAUGCUCGAAAGUGUGGGUAUCAAACAGGAGUAGAUACCCUGGUAGUC